Molecule: ribosomal RNA, 254 nt
Filed under: uncultured bacterium
Lineage: Bacteria
Description: partial 16S ribosomal RNA
Rfam family: Bacterial small subunit ribosomal RNA
Source: RNAcentral
UACGGGGGGAGCAAGCGUCGUUCGGAUUUACUGGGCGUAAAGGGCGCGUAGGCGGCCACUGCAAGUCAGUUGUGAAAUCUCCGGGCUUAACCCGGAAAGGUCAACUGAUACUGCAGGGCUAGAGUGCAGAAGGGGCAACUGGAAUUCUCGGUGUAGCGGUGAAAUGCGUAGAUAUCGCUAGGAACGCCGACGGUGAAAACAGCUCGCUGGGGACUCGCUGACGCUGAGACACGAAAGCCAGGGGAGCGAACGGG